GGGACGGUAGGGUAGCUUGGGUAUCCUUGUGCCUUCGGAUGGCACAGACCGUGGUUCAAAUCCGCGCCGUCCCA
RNAcentral lists this transfer RNA (74 nucleotides) under Methanobacteriota archaeon. RNAcentral's name for it is "tRNA-Pro". It matches the Rfam family "tRNA". Rfam says of the family: Transfer RNA (tRNA) molecules are approximately 80 nucleotides in length. Their secondary structure includes four short double-helical elements and three loops (D, anti-codon, and T loops). Lineage: Archaea; Methanobacteriati; Methanobacteriota. RNAcentral also lists the same sequence under 1 other name. The record is from RNAcentral.